CCCGGCCCCAAAUGUCCCCAUAACCCCAAGCAUCCCACAAAGAGGUGACACGGCUGGAAAAUAGGGCACCGGGGGUUUCCCACGUGGGAGGAAGGCGCCGUCCCCAAUGCCAACCGGGGCAUCCCCCUGGUCCCAUUUUGAGGUGAUCCCCCCCAAAAAAGAGGAUGCUCAGAGGCCAACCUGAAGCCACCUCAAUGGCAAUCCUAUGGGGUACCCCAAAACGGAGCCACCCAGAGCAGACACCAGCUCACUUUUUGGGGUGACAGACCCCAUCCCUCCUCCUUUCCGCCCACCCCGGGGUGUCCCUGGUGGGGGGAACCCACCUCAUCGCCCCGUCCCCUUUCCGUGCAGGGUCCCUCUUGGUGUGGGGUGGGGUUUGGGAUUUGGGGGAGGGGGCUUACCUCCAGGGGUGCAGGGUUAGUAACGGGCUGCAGGGGCUGCAGGGGCUGCAGGGGCUCAGCAGCGUCGGGCUCUGGCUGCUCGGGGACAGGCUGCAAGGCAAGGGCAUGAACGGGACCCGGUGCCACGGGGACCCCCCCCGGGGGUGACACCAGGGGGGGGAAAAGGGCUGGGGACAGAGGGAUGAGGGAUGGGGACGGGAGAGGGGAGAGCUGCAGGGGGGGAGCGGGGGUAAGGGGGUGCAGGGAUGAGGGGAUGAUUGGGAUUAGGGGAUGUAGGGAUGUGGGGGUGAGGGGAUGCCCGGGAUGAGGGGAUGAUAAGGAUUAGGGGAUGCUUGGGAUGAGGGGAUGAUUGGGAUUAGGGGAUACCCAGGAUUAGGGGAUGCUCAGGAUGUGGGGAUAUCCCAUUUGGGAUGAGGGGAUGCUCAGGAUUAGGGGAUGCUCGGGAUGCGGGGAUGCCGCCGCCGCCGGCAUCCCAAGCCCGGUACCGGUGCCACCGGCAGCCCCGACUCACUCCAAGGUCAGCGAGGGGAUUUUCAGCCGGUCCCGCCGCGACUUCAUGCCGCCCCUCACCGCCCCGCUCCGCUCCCCGCGCCGCCGCCGCCGCCGCCGCACCGGCAGCCCCCGCGCUGGGCGGCUCCCG
This 1041-nucleotide long non-coding RNA is filed under the name Anas platyrhynchos platyrhynchos (common mallard). Its description in RNAcentral is "lncRNA (ENSAPLG00000030652.1)". The record is from RNAcentral. Lineage: Eukaryota; Metazoa; Chordata; Aves; Anseriformes; Anatidae.